This 605-nucleotide small RNA is filed under the name Vigna angularis var. angularis. RNAcentral's name for it is "Non-protein coding transcript". Lineage: Eukaryota; Viridiplantae; Streptophyta; Magnoliopsida; Fabales; Fabaceae. The record is from RNAcentral.
AGAAAUAGAAAUAGAAGAAGUAAAAAUAGAGGAUAAGGAGAAAAAAUCUUCGAGCCCAAGUGACAGUAUUGACAAAACGGAGACAGCAUUCCUGGUUGCGGCAAGAACUAUGGUGAAUGAACUUUUAGAGCGAAUUCCAAGUGUGAUCCAUAACUUGAAUGCAAAGAAAGAAAAAGAAAAAAAGGAAAUUUCAAGGGCAAGUGACAGUAUUGACAAAACGGAGACAGCAUUCCUGGUUGCGGCAAGAAAUGGCAUAAUUGAAAUGGUGAAUGAACUUUUAGACCAAAUUCCAAGUGUGAUCCAUAACUUGAAUGCAAACAAAGAGAACGUGCUGCUGGUGGCAGUGAUGAAUAGGCAACCCUUUGUUAUUAAGAAAUUGAAAAUGAAGGUAAAAGGAGAAGUUUGGAAUAAUUUAACUCUGGCAAUAGAUAAAAAUGAGAGGACCAUAUUGCACUGGGCAGCAGAUGCUCCAGGAGACGACAAGCAUACAAAGAUAGCUGGUUCUGCCUUGCAAAUGAUGUGGGAUAUAAAGUGGUUUCGGUAUAUUGAAAGCCUCGUACCAGAACACUUUUACUUAAGAAGCGACACAGUGGGCGAAACUGCAG